Molecule: ribosomal RNA, 869 nt
Filed under: Bouchetitrochus caledonicus
Lineage: Eukaryota; Metazoa; Mollusca; Gastropoda; Pleurotomariida; Pleurotomariidae
Description: 12S ribosomal RNA
Source: RNAcentral
AGAGUUUGGUUCUGGCUCUGACUUUAGCUUUAACUACAAAAAAUACAUGGUUCUUUAGGGGGUUGGUGAGUAGUAAACUAUGGGGGUGUGAAAAAUUUAAGAUUUAUUUUAUCAGCCUAGUUUGGCAUAAAUUUUUGUAUGACGUCUAGAGUAUUUCACUUGAUUACACCAGUAUUGAGGAUUAAAGUAGAUGAGUGAAAGCUUGAUUUAGUGAUUGUUAAGAGGCCUGGUAAAAUCUGUGCCAGCUACCGCGGUUAUACGGGUAGGCCUAGUUAAUGGUUUCGGUGAAAAUGUGGUUAGGGGAUAUUAGUUAGGGGCUUAGGAGAGUUGCUUUUGUGGGUAGAAUCUAGAUAAGCUACUUGAUUUUAUUUAAGCCCGUGAAAUUUGAGGCCACGAAGUUUUCGGUAGAAACCGGGAUUAGAUACCCCGUUAUUCGAAAAUGUAAAUAUUGGUAUGUGCUUACCUGGGUAGUACGAGUUCAUGCUUAAAACCCAAAGAACUUGGCGGUGUCUUAAAUCUUUUUAGGNNNNNNNNNNNNNNNNNNNNNNNNCCGCGGGUUACCUUACUUUUUUUUGUAUAGUCAGCUUGUAUACCGUCGUCGUCAGGUUACUUUUUGAAAAUCUUGAAGUUAGCUAGUAGGUUUUUAAUUUUGUGAUUAUUGUCCUUUACGUCAGAUCAAGGUGCAGCUAAUGGAAGAGUAGAGAUGAAUUACAGUAAAUUAGUUUUUAUACGGAGUUUUUUUUGAAAGUAGAGAAAUGAAGGUGGACUUAAAAGUAAAUGUGGUAUUAGAAAGAUUUAUUGAAUUUAGUUCUAAGACGUGCACACAUCGCCCGUCGCUCUCGUUGAAAAAUGAGAUAAGUCGUAACAUA